AAAUUAAGCAUAUAAGUAGGCAGAGGAUGAGAUACACAACUGGAUUGGCACAGUAGUUGCGAAUGAACAGCAAAUUGCUCAAAUUGAAUUUGGGGACACCUGGCCCUCAACAUGAAAUCUCUGAAUGCUCCACCAACAAAGGCUCAGGAACAAAACCAUUCUGGAGGGGAUUGUGAAAGUGCCAACAGGGGUGAGAAUCCUGUGGUUCUUGCAGACCUUGUUCACGGUGUCUGCUUUCCAGAGUCAUGCUCCUUGGAACUGGAGUGCAAAGUGGGUGGUAGCUUCCACACAAAGGCAAACACACCACUGAGACUGACAGUGAAGAAGUACCGUGAGGGAAGUAUGAAAAGGACUUUGGAAAGAGAUUUAAAAGAGCCUGCACUUGCUGGACAACAAGCAUACAGAAUGAUCGUGUGAUUGGACAGAUUGCUGUGUGAAUACAGGUAACAAUCCUGUGCUGCAUGCGGAGAUUCUUUCUUGGUGUGCCAACUAGUGUGAGAGCAGUCAGUAUCUGUGGGCAGUGCUUGGGGUGUGUCUUGUGUCACAUGUGAUUGUAUGUACCUGGUCUGAACAUGUGAAACUGCAUCUACUGGCAAUGAAGAGUUAUGCAUGCAGUUGCUUUCACCAACGGUUCACCUUGUCAACGACAUGGGUGCCUUUCUGUGUGACCCGUCUUGAAACACGGACCAAGGAGUCUAGGCAGUAUGCAAGCUUGGGGGUGACAAACUCUGAGCACAAUGAAGCUGGAGUCCCGGAAAUGGCAGGGGUGUUCAACCAAGCAACAGGACAAGGUUUGAGUCUGAGCACACUUGUUAGGACCCGAAAGAUGGUGAACUAUGCCUGAAAAGG
This 849-nucleotide ribosomal RNA is filed under the name Gambierdiscus australes. RNAcentral's name for it is "LSU rRNA". It matches the Rfam family "Eukaryotic large subunit ribosomal RNA", at positions 31 to 845 of the family's 3401-position model. Lineage: Eukaryota; Dinophyceae; Gonyaulacales; Pyrocystaceae. The record is from RNAcentral.